Leopardus geoffroyi (Geoffroy's cat) is the source of this 1189-nucleotide long non-coding RNA. RefSeq lists it as uncharacterized. The transcript has 2 exons. The record is from RefSeq and is a predicted model, not a curated record. NCBI's taxonomy places the organism in Eukaryota, Metazoa, Chordata, Mammalia, Carnivora, Felidae.
UAAAAUACUUGGCCUCAUUAUUUUAUAGGUUUGCUGUGAAAAUCAAAUAAAUAACAUAUGAAAGAAUCAUCUUAUAAAUUACAAAGCAGCACUUCAACUUUAAGUUGCACUAUUUUAAUGAUGUGUUCAUCAGAUAUUUGGAUGAGUUAUCUCCUAUACAAACUAAAUUCCAGGUAGUAUCAUGAUUAUGAAAUGAGGUAUAAGAGCAUAUGCUUUGGCAUUUUCAUGGUUUAUUCAUUGGUUUUCCUCCCCCUUGCCUUUGCUCUCCAACUGCUGAAGUCAUGAUGGAAUUAGGAAUCUUUUCCUAGAAGGAGGAAGUUAUUAUUUAUAGCCAAAUUGGUUUUUCUUCUUUUCCUCAUUUACCUGAGGCUCCUUCAGGAAAAUUACUGAGUUCAGAACUGGCUUAAAAAACUUGAGUAGGUGAAUAAUAAGGAUCAAAAAGCUACUACAGGCCUGACAUGCUUGACGGGCUCCAGCACAGAUGAUUGGCACUCUUGGUCUCUCUAAACCCAAAAGUGACUCUGAAGAGCAUAAUGUACAAAGGGUCCUAUUCCCCAGCUGCCAGGCUCUGACUCAGUCCUUCACCCUUCCUUCUAUUCUCAUUUCCUCUCCACUUCCCAGUGCCCCAUCAUUUAGCAGCAGGGAUGAAAAGGAGCCAGGGUGGGUGUUCUGGGGUCAAGCAAGUUUCAAAACCAGCAUGGCAUAGCCUUUCCUGAGAGCAGUCCAAUCUGCUCACAGGUCCACUCUGACCAAUCUCAGAACACAUGGAAGGCUGGGCAAAGCAGGGCCUGGGAGUCCCUUAUUAUUGGCACUUGGGUUUCCUACUGGGUUAGAACCUUAAGCUCUCUGGCAGAAGCAGGGCACAGAGGCCACCUGAAGAGAACAAGGAUGCAGGCACAGCAGCUCACACUGCCCUAGGAUAGCUCCAGCAGACAGAAGUCCUGUGUCUGACCUCUGAGGUCUUAUGCUUUAGGGCAGGAUCUAACUCAGGGCACCAAAUAAAUAGCCUGUACUCCUGGUAAGUACAGGUCUUGGUACACAGGUGUUUGACAAAUACUAUUUGCAUGAUCAGUGACAGGUUUAGGCCAUUAAACCAGCAUUAGAGCACAGAGUAGUACCCAAAGAGAGCUACAUUUCUUUGGUCAAUUAAAAAAAAAAAGUUCUGGAGUAGUGGAACUAAACCCAUAGA